AUAGAACUGCAUCCAAAACUAUUAGGCUAGAGUGUGGGAGAGGAAGAUGGAAUUAGUUGUGUAGGGGUAAAAUCCGUAGAGAUAACUAGGAAUACCAAAAGCGAAGGCAAUCUUCUGGAACAUUACUGACGCUGAGGCGCGAAAGCGUGGGGAGCAAACAGGAUUAGAUACCCUGGUAGUCCACGCCCUAAACGAUGAACGUUAGUCGUCGGGUAGCUAGUCUAUUCGGUGAUGCAGCUAACGCAUUAAACAUUCCGCCUGGGGAGUACGGUCGCAAGAUUAAAACUCAAAGGAAUAGACGGGGACCCGCACAAGUGGUGGAGCAUGUGGUUUAAUUCGAAGAUACACGAAGAACCUUACCUGGCCUUGACAUCCCAAGAACUUUCCAGAGAUGGAUUGGUGCUAGCUUGCUAGAACUUGGUGACAGGUGCUGCACGGCUGUCGUCAGCUCGUGUCGUGAGAUGUUGGGUUAAGUCCCGCAACGAGCGCAACCCUCGUCUUUAGUUGCUAACAGUUAGGCUGAGCACUCUAAAGAGACUGCCUCCGUAAGGAGGAGGAAGGUGAGGACGACGUCAAGUCAUCAUGGCCCUUACGGCCAGGGCUACACACGUGCUACAAUGGGGCGUACAGAGAGCUGCAAUACCGCGAGGUGGAGCCAAUCUCUUAAAGCGUCUCUCAGUUCGGAUUGUUCUCUGCAACUCGAGAACAUGAAGCUGGAAUCACUAGUAAUCGCAGAUCAGCUAUGCUGCGGUGAAUACGUUCCCGGGUCUUGCACACACCGCCCGUC
Molecule: ribosomal RNA, 787 nt
Filed under: uncultured Campylobacterota bacterium
Lineage: Bacteria; Pseudomonadati; Campylobacterota
Description: bacterial SSU rRNA
Rfam family: Bacterial small subunit ribosomal RNA
Source: RNAcentral